CAAUAAGCGGAGGAAAAGAAACCAACAGGGAUUGCCCUAGUAACGGCGAGUGAAGCGGCAACAGCUCAAAUUUGAAAUCUGGCUACUUUGUAGUCCGAGUUGUAAUUUGUAGAGGAUGCUUUUGGUGAGGUGCUUUCUGAGUUCCCUGGAACGGGACGCCAGAGAGGGUGAGAGCCCCGUACAGUUAGCAACUGAUCCUUUGUAUAGCUCCUUCGACGAGUCGAGUAGUUUGGGAAUGCUGCUCUAAAUGGGAGGUAUAUCUCUUCUAAAGCUAAAUAUAGGCUAGAGACCGAUAGCGCACAAGUAGAGUGAUCGAAAGAUGAAAAGCACUUUGAAAAGAGAGUUAAACAGCACGUGAAAUUGUUGAAAGGGAAGCGCCUAUGACCAGACUUGUUUCUAUCAGUUUUGGUAGUUUUCGGACUGCUUUACUCUGUUAGUACAGGCCAACAUCAGUUUGUUGUCGGGGAGAAAGGCUUAGGGAAUGUAGCUCCCUCGGGAGUGUUAUAGACCUUUGCAUAAUACCCUUUGGCAGACUGAGGACCGCGCUUCGGCAAGGAUGUUGGCGUAAUGG
This 571-nucleotide ribosomal RNA is filed under the name Ambrosiella aff. grosmanniae NRgro1. RNAcentral describes it as "eukaryotic LSU rRNA". It matches the Rfam family "Eukaryotic large subunit ribosomal RNA", at positions 44 to 637 of the family's 3401-position model. Lineage: Eukaryota; Fungi; Ascomycota; Sordariomycetes; Microascales; Ceratocystidaceae. The record is from RNAcentral.